UCACUUACCUGGACAGGGUCGACGGGUGAUCAAGAUGGCCCAUGGCCUAGGUUCACUGCCUCCAUUGCACACCAGGCGAUGAGUCAGCCUAAGGCCUGCUCCUUGUAGCAGAACCUAAGUCAUAAAUUGUGGUAGCUGGGGCCCGUGUUCGCGCAGCUGACAC
Molecule: non-coding RNA, 163 nt
Organism: Eucalyptus grandis
Lineage: Eukaryota; Viridiplantae; Streptophyta; Magnoliopsida; Myrtales; Myrtaceae
Source: Rfam